UUCAAGAUACUGUUUUCUAAUCCUGCAUGUUAAGCAGAAAGUUUUGAGCGGCAGAAACAAGUAAAUGCACAGAAAAACAUAAAAAAAUGUAGUAAUGCGACAUGCUUAUUGCACGACUAUGACAUAAAAGUGCGUUUGAUCUUACUAUAGAUGGGACGCAUGCACUGCAUGUGGGAAAUUUUGAAUGUGACCAGUACUAAAGGUAAAUAUAGAUAUAGACAAAUCCCACACCAACCAAAGAGCAAUAAACAGUUGCAAGGCUGAUUAGCAGAAAUUUGCAGUAGGAGAAUAUUUUUGGGUAAUUGGUCAACUUACAACUGCUAUGUACACAUUUGUUCAAUAGUG
Molecule: unclassified non-coding RNA, 345 nt
Filed under: Hevea brasiliensis (rubber tree)
Lineage: Eukaryota; Viridiplantae; Streptophyta; Magnoliopsida; Malpighiales; Euphorbiaceae
Source: RNAcentral